RNAcentral lists this long non-coding RNA (2954 nucleotides) under Homo sapiens (human). Its description in RNAcentral is "KHDC1 antisense RNA 1, transcript variant 29 (KHDC1-AS1)". Lineage: Eukaryota; Metazoa; Chordata; Mammalia; Primates; Hominidae. The record is from RNAcentral.
AAGCAACCCAGAGCCCUCCUCCCGCCUGCUCUGUGUAGGAGACAGCCUGCGGAGCCCACUGCCGGCGCGCAGAGAGCCCAGCAGCUCUUGAGUCCAGGAAGCAAGGGUGGGAGGAGGGACGAGCCAGUGGCAAUGACCCAGACCCGGACGACCCCCAUUGCUGAGCCAGCGGAGCUGCUUGGAGGCAGAGGUUGCAGUGAGCUGAGAUUUUGCGACUACACUCCAACCUGGGCAACAGAGCGGGACUCCAUUCCAAAAAAAUAAGAAAAACAGAAAAAUAAUAAUUACAUCUGCAAAGACCUUAUUUCCAGGCUCAAGCAGAGUCUUCCUCCUGGUGUUCCAGAAGGAGUUCAAGGUCCUGCUCCAUAUGGGACAGCUAGAUUCUGAGGGCAAUGUUGAGAUCCUCAUCUCCAGAAGUUAAAAAGAACAAGUCUGGUCGGGCACGGUGGCUCACACCUGUAAUUCAAGACUGGGAAGUGGAGGCAGGCGGAUCACCUGAGGUCAGGAGUUCCAGACCAGCCUACCCAACAUGCAGGCAAGAAGAAUCUGUUGGAUGAUUACAACAUUGCUGGAUUGAUAGCAGCCUCACCUGCCAGGCUCAAACUCCAGGGUCCACGAGGCUGGUGUCAGACCUAUUGGGAGACCCUCUGCGUUAGUGAGAAAAACGGCAAGAAAUGGGAGCACGCGGAAACCUCCAAGACUAGAGCCACCAGAUGCCACCGACAGCACGCAGCUGGACCAGCACGGGGGAGGGCCUUCGUGGGUCGAGAGCUCGCUCGGGAGAUAGUUGGUGCUUUUCUUUCAGGAGAAGAAUCCCUGGCGGAGUCUGACCGUUCUCUGGCGCACAGCCCCGGGGGUGGGCACAGCAGCCGCCCCUGCUGAAGGGACUGACGCCUCCGACGACCAGCAGCCAAGUUAAACGCACUGUUCCGUGAGCAGCUUUGUUGGAGACAGCGCGGUUCACAUUCUCUUCCAACGGAGCCGCUGACUGCGGAGCUGGGAGGGGACGUGACAGAACCCAGCCAUCCAACGUCCCCCCACCCCUCCCCAGCUGGGACCUCCGGCUGCUUCCGGGCUGCGCUGGGUGGCGUCAAGGAGCCGCCCCUCUGGGCCGCGUCCCUCCCUCACGCCCUGCACACUGGCCCUGUGUGGCCGGCGGGGCGCCUAAAAGGGCGGAAGGAUGCAGGGGCGGAGGGGGCUCGGGAUUGCACGCCUAGCUCAGACCCCCCAGCCAGGACCCCUCGCGCUGUUGGACACGCCAGCCUCCCGACCCUGCGGCUCCUACGGGAGGUGACAAGGACCCUGCCAACCUGGCCUGAAUGGCCCAGUUUGAUACAGAUCAGGUUUUCAAUGAAUGAGACCGCGGUGUGGUCUAGGCGGAGGGAUGAGAGGAGGGGAUUCUGCUGGGAUAAGUGGGGGCGGGGUAAGGAGGGGAUUCUUUUCCUGGGCUGAGGAGAACGCAGGGACAAAGUACACAGGGGUAGUUGAGUGAGCAGGUGAGGCCCUAGGCUGGUUCCCCACCUUCUCAGGAUCGGAGCCACUCACUUCCUGGUACUCUCUGCAGUCUCCUGGCGUUAAAUAACAUCCCUUUGCUGGAGACUCUGGAUUCACAUCCAUAAUCGCAGCCUCCCCUACUCAUCCCCUCACGCUUCCCAUGAACUAACCUUGAAGGACCCGACCAGAGCCCUGACCUCCGUCCCACACACCUGCUACAUGGAAGGUGUUCUCCACAUCAGUUCAAGGCAGUGUCACUCUUCAGGAUGUUCAGGCUCUAAACCUUGGACUCCUCCUCCAGAUUUCUCUCUCCUUCCUUCUCCUUGUCUCUCCCUUGCACUUACGGUUCACUUUUCCUUCGUAGCUUUGUAGCUCAUUCCCCCUUCCACUUUCCACACCACCUUCUGGUCUGUUAAUUAAAUAUUACCUGGUUUCCACUGACACCUUCCCUGGGUUCCCAAUUGAAAAUCACAACAUCAUCCUCCUCCUCUGCUUUUUUUCUCCAAAUUAUAUCCUCACCCAAUUAUGUGUUAUUCUCAUUAAUCUUGCUUAAUUAAUUAGCAGACAUUAUUAAUGCCUGUUUCCCCUAUCACCACCACUAGACUAUGAACUCCUAAGGACUCCUUCCUUCCACCACUGUUGUACUCGCUUCACCUAGAACUGCUUGGCACAUACAAUGUGCUCCAUAAAUAUUUGUUGAAUGAAAGACUAGACACAACUUAGGAUUCACUCCCCCAUGUGGCAUCCAUAAGCCCUGUAUGCAGGUAAAAUGUCAGUGGGUUGACUAAAUACUGGAAGUGGAAAAAACUUCACCUCUUUGGUUUGCAGUUGUCUAGGAUAUUUAGGCCAAUGGAAAAUCCAGUUUUCCUUAGAAUUAAGCCAGUGCCGCCAGACUUGCCAGUUUACCAUGCUUGUCUGACUGGUCCUCAGCAUGGGUCAUACGUGUCCAAUGAAUUCAAACAAAAUCUUGAGAAGACACGAACCUUGCCCUUCGGCUGGGCGCGGUGGCUCACGCCUGUAAUCCCAGCACUUUGGGAGGCCGAGGCAGGCGGAUCACGAGGUCAGGAGAUCGAGACCAUCCUGGCUAACAUGGUGAAACCCCGUCUCUACUAAAAAUACAAAAAAUUAGCCGAGCGUGGUGGCGGGCGCCUGUAGUCCCAGCUACUCAGGAGGCUGAGGCAGGAGAAUGGCGUGAACCCGGGAGGCGGAGCUUGCAGUGAGUGAGCCGAGAUCGCACCCCUGCACUCCAGCCUGGGCGACAGAGCGAGACUCCGUAAAAAAACAAAAAAAAAACCUUGCCCUUCAUUCCCCAUUUCUAUCAUAAUCUACACAGAGUUUUGAACAGGCAUUUUAAAAUCAACAAUAUAUUAUUUACAAUUUUGUUAGUAUACAUAACUCUAACUCACUGUUAAAAAUCACCUGUCUUUAUAUCCAUUAAAUGACACUUGCAUAUGCUCCAA